This 260-nucleotide long non-coding RNA is filed under the name Elaeis guineensis (African oil palm). Its description in RNAcentral is "long non-coding RNA (EGUI_LNC060029)". The record is from RNAcentral. Lineage: Eukaryota; Viridiplantae; Streptophyta; Magnoliopsida; Arecales; Arecaceae.
UUCAUGCAAUGAUUACUCCUAUUGGCUUGGUGUGAUCUCCUUCCUAACUCCAUAUGGAGUUCUUUGGCUGAGCUUAGUCUUUUUUUCAGAGAUAUUUGUGCUACUGAACUAUCCACUAACCACAUCUUCAGUCUUGAGACUAGCAGUCUCUAUGCAAGUUGGAGAAGAUAUUUCCUCCUAGCUUCUUCGAUUCCAUGGAGCACCUCAUGAUUCAUCUAGCAUAUAAAGCUAGGAUGGGGGGACCAGUGCAGUACAAGUGG